This 76-nucleotide microRNA precursor is filed under the name Myotis davidii. RNAcentral's name for it is "mir-9193 microRNA precursor family". The record is from Rfam by way of RNAcentral. Lineage: Eukaryota; Metazoa; Chordata; Mammalia; Chiroptera; Vespertilionidae.
GGCGGGGGGGUUGGGGGACCCUCAGCCUGGAAUGUAAGAGGGCACAGACCAGGCUGAGGGACCCCACCGAUGCACG